UGCCGGCGAGUGGCGAACGGGUGAGUAAUGCAUCGGAACGUACCCAGUGGUGGGGGAUAGCUCGGCGAAAGCCGGAUUAAUACCGCAUACGCCCUGAGGGGGAAAGUGGGGGAUCUUCGGACCUCACGCCAUUGGAGCGGCCGAUGUCGGAUUAGCUAGUUGGUGAGGUAAAGGCUCACCAAGGCGACGAUCCGUAGCUGGUCUGAGAGGAUGAUCAGCCACACUGGGACUGAGACGCGGCCCAGACUCCUACGGGAGGCAGCAGUGGGGAAUUUUGGACAAUGGGCGCAAGCCUGAUCCAGCCAUGCCGCGUGAGUGAAGAAGGCCUUCGGGUUGUAAAGCUCUUUCGGCCGGGAAGAAAUCGUGGUGGCGAAUACCUGCCAUGGAUGACGGUACCGGACUAAGAAGCACCGGCUAACUACGUGCCAGCAGCCGCGGUAAUACGUAGGGUGCGAGCGUUAAUCGGAAUUACUGGGCGUAAAGCGUGCGCAGGCGGUUGUGUAAGACAGGCGUGAAAUCCCCGGGCUCAACCUGGGAACUGCGCUUGUGUCUGCACGGCUAGAGUACGGCAGAGGGGGGUGGAAUUCCACGUGUAGCAGUGAAAUGCGUAGAGAUGUGGAGGAACACCGAUGGCGAAGGCAGCCCCCUGGGUCGAUACUGACGCUCAUGCACGAAAGCGUGGGGAGCAAACAGGAUUAGAUACCCUGGUAGUCCACGCCCUAAACGAUGUCGACUAGUUGUUGGAGGGGUAAAACCCUUUAGUAACGUAGCUAACGCGUGAAGUCGACCGCCUGGGGAGU
This 800-nucleotide ribosomal RNA is filed under the name uncultured bacterium. RNAcentral's name for it is "bacterial SSU rRNA". It matches the Rfam family "Bacterial small subunit ribosomal RNA", at positions 86 to 881 of the family's 1533-position model. The record is from RNAcentral.